GGGGGAUAUUGCACAAUGGGGGAAACCCUGAUGCAGCGACGCCGCGUGGAGGAAGAAGGUUUUCGGAUUGUAAACUCCUGUCGUUAGGGACGAUAAUGACGGUACCUAACAAGAAAGCACCGGCUAACUACGUGCCAGCAGCCGCGGUAAAACGUAGGGUGCAAGCGUUGUCCGGAAUUACUGGGUGUAAAGGGAGCGCAGGCGGACCGGCAAGUUGGAAGUGAAAACUAUGGGCUCAACCCAUAAAUUGCUUUCAAAACUGCUGGCCUUGAGUAGUGCAGAGGUAGGUGGAAUUCCCGGUGUAGCGGUGGAAUGCGUAGAUAUCGGGAGGAACACCAGUGGCGAAGGCGACCUACUGGGCACCAACUGACGCUGAGGCUCGAAAGCAUGGGUAGCAAACAGGAUUAGAUACCCUGGUAGUCCAUGCCGUAAACGAUGAUUACUAGGUGUUGGAGGAUUGACCCCUUCAGUGCCGCAGUUAACACAAUAAGUAAUCCACCUGGGGAGUACGACCGCAAGGUUGAAACUCAAAGGAAUUGACGGGGGCCCGCACAAGCAGUGGAGUAUGUGGUUUAAUUCGAAGCAACGCGAAGAACCUUACCAGGUCUUGACAUCCGAUGCAUAGCGCAGAGAUGCGUGAAGUCCUUCGGGACAUCGAGACAGGUGGUGCAUGAUUGUCGUCAGCUCGUGUCGUGAGAUGUUGGGUUAAGUCCCGCAACGAGCGCAACCCUUAUUGCCAGUUACUACGUAAGAGGACUCUGGCGAGACUGCCGUUGACAAAACGGAGGAAGGUGGGGAUGACGUCAAAUCAUCAUGCCCUUUAUGACCUGGGCUACACACGUACUACAAUGGCGUUUAACAAAGAGAAGCAAGACCGCGAGGUGGAGCAAAACUCAAAAACAACGUCUCAGUUCAGAUUGCAGGCUGCAACUCGCCUGCAUGAAGUCGGAAUUGCUAGUAAUCGCGGAUCAGCAUGCCGCGGUGAAUACGUUCCCG
Molecule: ribosomal RNA, 996 nt
Filed under: uncultured organism
Description: bacterial SSU rRNA
Rfam family: Bacterial small subunit ribosomal RNA
Source: RNAcentral